UACGGAGGGGGCUAGCGUUGUUCGGAAUUACUGGGCGUAAAGGGCGCGUAGGCGGUGUGUCAAGUCAGGCGUGAAAGCCCCGGGCUCAACCUGGGAACGGCGCUUGAGACUGGCACGCUCGAGUUCGGGAGAGGAUGGUGGAAUUCCCAGUGUAGAGGUGAAAUUCGUAGAUAUUGGGAAGAACACCGAUGGCGAAGGCAGCCAUCUGGACCGACACUGACGCUGAGGCGCGAAAGCGUGGGGAGCAAACAGG
RNAcentral lists this ribosomal RNA (253 nucleotides) under uncultured bacterium. Its description in RNAcentral is "partial 16S ribosomal RNA". It matches the Rfam family "Bacterial small subunit ribosomal RNA", at positions 524 to 776 of the family's 1533-position model. The record is from RNAcentral.